GCGGAGCUGCGGGGUGCGUCAGGAGCCUUAUCCCCGGGGCCUUAUCGAUCUCGAAGGGAGCUGUCCCUGACCGGGCCCGUGGGCUCGGACAUACGGCGCCCACCUACUUUCGUAGGGAACCCGGGAUCGCGUGCUCCAACGGCCAUUGCGGCUCCGCG
Molecule: non-coding RNA, 158 nt
Filed under: Hyphomicrobiales bacterium
Lineage: Bacteria; Pseudomonadati; Pseudomonadota; Alphaproteobacteria; Hyphomicrobiales
Description: Rhizobiales bacterium (bioreactor metagenome) 6S RNA
Rfam family: 6S / SsrS RNA
About the family: E. coli 6S RNA was the first non coding RNA to be sequenced, but its function was unknown until recently. It consists of 184 nucleotides that fold into an extended hairpin structure with a large single-stranded internal bulge.
Source: RNAcentral